GUGUAGCAGUCAGCCAGCCACUCACAUUACCAACACAGUCUGGCGGUGAAACUCAAACUUUUGUGAUCCCGCUAUACCUUGGUUUUGUCUUUUGGAGCUUUAAUACAUCAAGGGAUGCACCGAAUAAAGACGCAAAAAAUCAUUACAACCGACGGUUAGAGACUGUUUAGUUCUGCAUCGCAUGUCUUCGAUGAGAAGAGGAAGGGUGAU
Sinocyclocheilus rhinocerous is the source of this 210-nucleotide long non-coding RNA. RefSeq lists it as uncharacterized. The transcript is spliced from 2 exons. NCBI's taxonomy places the organism in Eukaryota, Metazoa, Chordata, Actinopteri, Cypriniformes, Cyprinidae. The record is from RefSeq and is a predicted model, not a curated record.